RNAcentral lists this ribosomal RNA (525 nucleotides) under uncultured Paracoccaceae bacterium. Its description in RNAcentral is "bacterial SSU rRNA". It matches the Rfam family "Bacterial small subunit ribosomal RNA", at positions 376 to 919 of the family's 1533-position model. The record is from RNAcentral. Lineage: Bacteria; Pseudomonadati; Pseudomonadota; Alphaproteobacteria; Rhodobacterales; Paracoccaceae.
CGCAGCCUGAUCCAGCCAUGCCGCGUGAUUGAUGAAGGCCUUAGGGUUGUAAAGAUCUUUCAGAUGGGAAGAUAAUGACGGUACCAUCAGAAGAAGCUCCGGCUAACUCCGUGCCAGCAGCCGCGGUAAUACGGAGGGAGCUAGCGUUGUUCGGAAUUACUGGGCGUAAAGCGUACGUAGGCGGACUAUUAAGUCAGAGGUGAAAUCCCAGGGCUCAACCCUGGAACUGCCUUUGAUACUGGUAGUCUAGAGGUCGAGAGAGGUGAGUGGAAUUCCGAGUGUAGAGGUGAAAUUCGUAGAUAUUCGGAGGAACACCAGUGGCGAAGGCGGCUCACUGGCUCGAUACUGACGCUGAGGUACGAAAGUGUGGGUAGCAAACAGGAUUAGAUACCCUGGUAGUCCACACCGUAAACGAUGAAUGCUAGUCGUCAGGGGACUUGUCCUUUGGUGACGCAGCUAACGCAUUAAGCAUUCCGCCUGGGGAGUACGGUCGCAAGAUUAAAACUCAAAGAAAUUUGACGGAAG